RNAcentral lists this ribosomal RNA (479 nucleotides) under uncultured bacterium. RNAcentral's name for it is "partial 16S ribosomal RNA". It matches the Rfam family "Bacterial small subunit ribosomal RNA", at positions 28 to 507 of the family's 1533-position model. The record is from RNAcentral.
GAUGAACGCUGGCGGCGUGCUUAACACAUGCAAGUCGAGCGAGAAGUUUUGAAAAGAUUCUUCGGAUGAAAUUUAAAAUGGAAAGCGGCGGACGGGUGAGUAACGCGUAGGCAACCUGCCCCAUACAAAGGGAUAGCAUUUGGAAACGAAUGUUAAUACCUUAUGAAACUUAACUAGUGCAUGCUAGGUAGGUCAAAGAUUUAUCGGUAUGGGAUGGGCCUGCGUCUGAUUAGCUAGUUGGUGAGGUAACGGCUCACCAAGGCGACGAUCAGUAGCCGACCUGAGAGGGUGAACGGCCACAUUGGAACUGAGACACGGUCCAAACUCCUACGGGAGGCAGCAGUGGGGAAUAUUGCACAAUGGGGGAAACCCUGAUGCAGCAACGCCGCGUGAACGAUGAAGGCCUUUGGGUCGUAAAGUUCUGUUCUAGGUGAUGAAAACUGACAGUAACCUAGGAGAAAGCCCCGGCUAACUCCGUG